RNAcentral lists this ribosomal RNA (503 nucleotides) under uncultured bacterium. RNAcentral describes it as "partial 16S ribosomal RNA". It matches the Rfam family "Bacterial small subunit ribosomal RNA", at positions 30 to 523 of the family's 1533-position model. The record is from RNAcentral.
AUUGAACGCUGGCGGCAGGCUUAACACAUGCAAGUCGAGCGGGGUGAUGGUGCUUGCACUAUCACUUAGCGGCGGACGGGUGAGUAAUGCUUAGGAAUCUGCCUAUUAGUGGGGGACAACAUCUCGAAAGGGAUGCUAAUACCGCAUACGUCCUACGGGAGAGAGCAGGGGAUCACUUGUGACCUUGCGCUAAUAGAUGAGCCUAAGUCGGAUUAGCUAGUUGGUGGGGUAAAGGCCUACCAAGGCGACGAUCUGUAGCGGGUCUGAGAGGAUGAGCCGCCACACUGGGACUGAGACACGGCCCAGACUCCUACGGGAGGCAGCAGUGGUGAAUAUUGGACAAUGGGGGGAACCCUGAUCCAGCCAUGCCGCGUGUGUGAAGAAGGCCUUAUGGUUGUAAAGCACUUUAAGCGAGGAGGAGGCUCUUUUGGUUAAUACCCAAGAUGAGUGGACGUUACUCGCAGAAUAAGCACCGGCUAACUCUGUGCCAGCAGCCGCGGUAA